RNAcentral lists this ribosomal RNA (1409 nucleotides) under Salmonella enterica. RNAcentral's name for it is "partial 23S ribosomal RNA". It matches the Rfam family "Bacterial large subunit ribosomal RNA", at positions 1407 to 2799 of the family's 2925-position model. The record is from RNAcentral. Lineage: Bacteria; Pseudomonadati; Pseudomonadota; Gammaproteobacteria; Enterobacterales; Enterobacteriaceae.
AGGCGUAGUCGAUGGGAAACGGGUUAAUAUUCCCGUACUUGGUGUUACUGCGAAGGGGGGACGGAGAAGGCUAUGUUGGCCGGGCGACGGUAGUCCCGGUUUAAGCGUGUAGGUGUGUGUUCCAGGCAAAUCCGGUUCACUUUAACACUGAGGCGUGACGACGAGGCACCACGGUGCUGAAGCAACAAAUGCCCUGCUUCCAGGAAAAGCCUCUAAGCAUCAGGUAACAUCAAAUCGUACCCCAAACCGACACAGGUGGUCAGGUAGAGAAUACCAAGGCGCUUGAGAGAACUCGGGUGAAGGAACUAGGCAAAAUGGUGCCGUAACUUCGGGAGAAGGCACGCUGACACGUAGGUGAAGUGAUUUACUCAUGGAGCUGAAGUCAGUCGAAGAUACCAGCUGGCUGCAACUGUUUAUUAAAAACACAGCACUGUGCAAACACGAAAGUGGACGUAUACGGUGUGACGCCUGCCCGGUGCCGGAAGGUUAAUUGAUGGGGUCAGCGCAAGCGAAGCUCCUGAUCGAAGCCCCGGUAAACGGCGGCCGUAACUAUAACGGUCCUAAGGUAGCGAAAUUCCUUGUCGGGUAAGUUCCGACCUGCACGAAUGGCGUAAUGAUGGCCAGGCUGUCUCCACCCGAGACUCAGUGAAAUUGAACUCGCUGUGAAGAUGCAGUGUACCCGCGGCAAGACGGAAAGACCCCGUGAACCUUUACUAUAGCUUGACACUGAACAUUGAGCCUUGAUGUGUAGGAUAGGUGGGAGGCUUUGAAGCGUGGACGCCAGUCUGCGUGGAGCCGACCUUGAAAUACCACCCUUUAAUGUUUGAUGUUCUAACGUGGACCCGUAAUCCGGGUUGCGGACAGUGUCUGGUGGGUAGUUUGACUGGGGCGGUCUCCUCCUAAAGAGUAACGGAGGAGCACGAAGGUUGGCUAAUCCUGGUCGGACAUCAGGAGGUUAGUGCAAUGGCAUAAGCCAGCUUGACUGCGAGCGUGACGGCGCGAGCAGGUGCGAAAGCAGGUCAUAGUGAUCCGGUGGUUCUGAAUGGAAGGGCCAUCGCUCAACGGAUAAAAGGUACUCCGGGGAUAACAGGCUGAUACCGCCCAAGAGUUCAUAUCGACGGCGGUGUUUGGCACCUCGAUGUCGGCUCAUCACAUCCUGGGGCUGAAGUAGGUCCCAAGGGUAUGGCUGUUCGCCAUUUAAAGUGGUACGCGAGCUGGGUUUAGAACGUCGUGAGACAGUUCGGUCCCUAUCUGCCGUGGGCGCUGGAAGACUGAGGGGGGCUGCUCCUAGUACGAGAGGACCGGAGUGGACGCAUCACUGGUGUUCGGGUUGUCAUGCCAAUGGCACUGCCCGGUAGCUAAAUGCGGAAAAGAUAAGUGCUGAAAGCAUCUAAGCACGAAACUUGCCC